UUCGGCGAAUUUUAUAUGCCAAAGUUUUUAAAUAAUAUGAUUAUUUUCUCAAACUUUUACUUAUUGUAUAAGGAUUGAAUAUUUUUAUAGUGACACCGCUUGGAAGUAUACCAGUCAAAGCUUGGAAGUAUACCAGUCAAAGCUUGGAAGUAUACCAGUCAAAGCUUGGAAGUAUACCAGUCAAAGGUUGGAAGUAUACCAGUCAAAGCUUGGAAGUAUAACAGUCAAAGCUUGGAAGUAUACCAGUCAAAGCUUGGAAGUAUAACAGUCAAAGCUUGGAAGUAUAACAGUCAAAGUUUACAAACUUCUGUUAUCCAUAUCAUAGUCAUUUGAACAUUUUUUAAAUCGCCAAAUCCUCAAUAAAACAGCCAGCUGGUGAAAAAUUCUAGAAGGAAUCUUGGAUAUGGUUCUAUUUCUUGAUGAAUUUUAGGCCACUAAAACUAAUGCCACUCCUGAUGUAAGCCAUACUGAACAAUCUACGUUUGUCAUUCGAUAUUUACAAAAACAGAAACCUGAAAAAUUUUGAAGACUAGGUCUGAUAUUGCAAGAUUAAUUCUGGAAACUUUGAAAAUUUAUUUUAAAGACCGCCGUAGCCAAGACUAUGGAGUAUGAAGACAACAUGUCAGGACAAUACAAGGGUGUUCAAGCAAUCUUAAAAUGAAUAAGCUAUUGUCUAUAUUCUCACCCUGUGGCUGUCAUUCAUUGAAUUUGAUAGAAUUCUGCCUCAAACUGUACAGAUGCUGAAACUUACUUUGGAACUGUUUUAACCAAGUAUACAAUCUUGUUUGCUAGUUCACAACACAAUAUUGCAAAAGUGGCAAAAGGUACACCUCUAUGUGUUCAUGCAAAGGCACACCUCUAUAAUGUGUGUUUGCAUGGGAAAUUUGAAACUUAAUGAACUGAGAGAUCUGGCAGCAUUUCCUCUUUCUUUGAUCACUUAAACCAAAUCUUUAAUUGUUUGGAAAAAGUGUACAGCUUGAAUCUCACGCCUAAAACAAAAACUGAGAUUAGAGGUCCCCUAAAACAUGCUAGCUCCUUUAAAUGUAAAGGAGCUCAUAUAAUGCAAUUUUAGAAUAAGUCGAAUUAUCUGCAGCUACUCCAAUCAGUUCUGAAUUUCCAAACUUUCGAUUCAACUUAUUAGGCAAAGUUUCUAAAAUAAAGCUUGGGAAACUCCUUUAAAAUGUAGUGAUUGCACUGUGUAUUUUGGCUUCAAUUCCAGUUACAGUGAUCUUGUGAGCGUUGAAGUUCAUCGAGAAUUUUUUGCGCUUAAUUAUGGGACAAAAACGAAGAAGUAAUCUUGCCAUUUUGAGUACCGAGUGUCUAUUAGCACUAAAUCUUGAGUUCUAUAAUGUGAAGAGUUUUCAAAAUAAAGGACUAGAAAAAUAAUAGAGUAAGAAACAAAAGCUGGGUUACUUAAUUAUACUUAUAUAGCAGUAAUAUAAUCAAAAAAUUUGA
Hydra vulgaris (swiftwater hydra) is the source of this 1455-nucleotide non-coding RNA. The record is from RefSeq and is a predicted model, not a curated record. NCBI's taxonomy places the organism in Eukaryota, Metazoa, Cnidaria, Hydrozoa, Anthoathecata, Hydridae.